AUUGAACGCUGGCGGCAGGCCUAACACAUGCAAGUCGAGCGAGCGGCGGACGGGUGAGUAAUGUAUGGGGACUGCCCGAUAGAGGGGGGUAACUACUGGAAACGGUGGCUAAUACCGCAUACUGUUGGAUAACCCAUAUGGGAUUAGCUAGUAGGUAAGGUAAUGGCUUAACUAGGCGACGCUCCCUAUCUGGGCGGAGAGGAUGAUCAACCACACUGGGACUGAGACACGGCCCAGACUCCUACGGAGGCAGCAGUGGGGAAUAUUGCACAAUGGGCGCAAGCCUGAUGCAGCCAUGCCGCGUGUAGGAAGAAGGCCCUAGGGUUGUAAAGUACUUUCAGUCGGGAGGCGUUACCGACAGAAGAAGCACCGGCUAACUCCGUGCCAGCAGCCGCGGUAAUAC
This 403-nucleotide ribosomal RNA is filed under the name uncultured bacterium. Its description in RNAcentral is "partial 16S ribosomal RNA". It matches the Rfam family "Bacterial small subunit ribosomal RNA", at positions 30 to 526 of the family's 1533-position model. The record is from RNAcentral.